GAUGAACGCUGGCGGCGUGCCUAAUACAUGCAAGUCGAGCGAACGGACGAGAAGCUUGCUUCUCUGAUGUUAGCGGCGGACGGGUGAGUAACACGUGGAUAACCUACCUAUAAGACUGGGAUAACUUCGGGAAACCGGAGCUAAUACCGGAUAAUAUUUUGAACCGCAUGGUUCAAAAGUGAAAGACGGUCUUGCUGUCACUUAUAGAUGGAUCCGCGCUGCAUUAGCUAGUUGGUAAGGUAACGGCUUACCAAGGCAACGAUGCAUAGCCGACCUGAGAGGGUGAUGGGCCACACUGGAACUGAGACACGGUCCAGACUCCUACGGGAGGCAGCAGUAGGGAAUCUUCCGCAAUGGGCGAAAGCCUGACGGAGCAACGCCGCGUGAGUGAUGAAGGACUUCGGAUCGUAAAACUCUGUUAUUAGGGAAGAACAUAUGUGUAAGUAACUGUGCACAUCUUGACGGUACCUAAUCAGAAAGCCACGGCUAACUACGUG
Molecule: ribosomal RNA, 497 nt
Filed under: uncultured bacterium
Lineage: Bacteria
Description: partial 16S ribosomal RNA
Rfam family: Bacterial small subunit ribosomal RNA
Source: RNAcentral